AACGAACGCUGGCGGCAUGCCUAACACAUGCAAGUCGAACGAGACCUUCGGGUCUAGUGGCGCACGGGUGCGUAACGCGUGGGAACCUGCCCUUAGGUUCGGAAUAACUCCCCGAAAGGGGUGCUAAUACCGGAUAAUGUCUUCGGACCAAAGAUUUAUCGCCUUUGGAUGGGCCCGCGUUGGAUUAGCUAGUUGGUAGGGUAAAAGCCUACCAAGGCGACGAUCCAUAGCUGGUCUGAGAGGAGGAUCAGCCACACUGGGACUGAGACACGGCCCAGACUCCUACGGGAGGCAGCAGAAGGGAAUAUUGGACAAUGGGCGAAAGCCUGAUCCAGCAAUGCCGCGUGAGUGAUGAAGGCCUUAGGGUUGUAAAGCUCUUUUACCCGGGAUGAUAAUGACAGUACCGGGAGAAUAAGCUCCGGCUAACUCCGUG
RNAcentral lists this ribosomal RNA (433 nucleotides) under uncultured bacterium. RNAcentral describes it as "partial 16S ribosomal RNA". It matches the Rfam family "Bacterial small subunit ribosomal RNA", at positions 29 to 507 of the family's 1533-position model. The record is from RNAcentral.